CCCCUCUCCCACACAGCCCUCAGUCCUAAAGGCUGGUCUCACUCCCAUCCUGCCACGCAACAGCACAGGGUCUAUUUCGAGACAGCCAGUGACCAGGGCUGAGAACUUGCCCCAGACCACCAGCCUCCUCACUGAGAAAGCAAGCAGAAUCACAGUUUUUUGGAAUCUCAGGGAGCCUUCAGCGGCAAUCCAGUUCCUUCAAAGGGUCUGUGGAUUCUCUCAGUUUUCAUGAUUUCUAAACUGCUUUGCUGAUUUGAUCUGGGGCCCUGGAGUGCCAACAUCCUGUGAUAGCGGCUGAUUGUUGAUGCCUGGGAGGAUACAGCAGUGACGAUCCAAAUUUACAAGACUCAACAUGGUUUUCAAAACUUCCUUUUAAAAAAGAUGUUCCUGAGUUCUGGAAUCUGAACAAAAUAUGUCUGGUUAUUAUAUAAUUCUAAUGGUCCUUGUGGAUGCUACCAUUAGAGUUCAGUUAGUGUCUCAUCUAUCACUGUAAUAUUUGUAUUGUAACACUAAUCGUGGCAAAGUAUGAUUUGAUAAAUGCUCAUUCUCAAAUCUUUUAUUU
This 562-nucleotide long non-coding RNA is filed under the name Homo sapiens (human). RNAcentral's name for it is "HSALNT0297867". Lineage: Eukaryota; Metazoa; Chordata; Mammalia; Primates; Hominidae. The record is from RNAcentral.